UGGCUGCCUCCAGGCUUCAGAAACCAUCCCCUUAACCAAGGCCGCAGGGGAUUCUGUGAUUGGCACAGCGAUAGUCCCUGGUCAGGCUCUUCCUCCCUAACCUGUCUGAUGUGUGACUCAGUGGAACACGCCUUCCAGAAGAGACUCCCCCUGCUCCUGUACUGCUUGCCCCACGCUUCCAUUUUCUUUCCUGCCCGGAAGAAAUUUGGUUGUCCUUGGUCUUUUUUUAUUUUAAUUUUUACUUAGGUUCUACAGGGUUAACUUUUUGCUGUAUGUUACUACUAUUCAGGCUCCUCUUGGCUGUACCUGUGCUACUGUUUU
RNAcentral lists this long non-coding RNA (321 nucleotides) under Homo sapiens (human). RNAcentral describes it as "HSALNT0226612". The record is from RNAcentral. Lineage: Eukaryota; Metazoa; Chordata; Mammalia; Primates; Hominidae.